Molecule: ribosomal RNA, 459 nt
Filed under: uncultured Methanomicrobiales archaeon
Lineage: Archaea; Methanobacteriati; Methanobacteriota; Methanomicrobia; Methanomicrobiales
Description: bacterial SSU rRNA
Rfam family: Archaeal small subunit ribosomal RNA
Source: RNAcentral
ACAACAGGUGGAGCCUGCGGUUUAAUCGGACUCAAACGCCGGGAAACUCACCAGAUAAGACAGCUGAAUGAUAGUCGGGCUGAAGGCUCUACUUGACUAGCUGAGAGGAGGUGCAUGGCCGUCGUCAGUUCGUACUGUGAAGCAUCCUGUUAAGUCAGGCAACGAGCGAGACCCACGCCAACAGUUGCCAGCUCGUCCUCCGGGAUGGUGGGGACACUGUUGGGACCGCCUCUGCUAAAGAGGAGGAAGGAAUGGGCAACGGUAGGUCAGCAUGCCCCGAAUUAUCUGGGCUACACGCGGGCUACAAUGGGUGGGACAAUGGGUAUCGACACCGAAAGGUGAAGGCAAUCUCCUAAACCCAUCCGUAGUUCGGAUUGUGGGCUGCAACUCGCCCACAUGAAGCUGGAAUCUGUAGUAAUCGUGUCUCAAAAUGGCACGGUGAAUAUGUCCCUGCUCCUU